UCAAAUGACUUUUGAACUUAGUGGCGGACGGGUGAGUAACGCGUGAGCAACCUGCCUUUCAGAGGGGGACAACAGCUGGAAACGGCUGCUAAUACCGCAUAACACAUCGGGGUGGCAUCACCCUGGUGUCAAAGGAGCAAUCCGCUGAGAGAUGGGCUCACGUCUGAUUAGCUGGUUGGUGAGGUAACGGCUCACCAAGGCGACGAUCAGUAGCCGGCCUGAGAGGGUGAACGGCCACAUUGGGACUGAGACACGGCCCAAACUCC
This 266-nucleotide ribosomal RNA is filed under the name uncultured Eubacteriales bacterium. RNAcentral's name for it is "uncultured Clostridiales bacterium partial 16S ribosomal RNA". It matches the Rfam family "Bacterial small subunit ribosomal RNA", at positions 72 to 339 of the family's 1533-position model. Lineage: Bacteria; Bacillati; Bacillota; Clostridia; Eubacteriales. The record is from RNAcentral.